GUUUUUGGCUUUGACCUCCCCCCAGUGACCAAAGACUUGAGCACUCAAAAAGUUCAGCUCCCCAUAGUAUUUGACAUGGACACCGGUGUGAUUGAAGGUGGAUUAAAUGUCACUCUCACCAUCCGGCUACUUAUGCAUGGGAAGGAAGUUGGCAGUAUCAUUGGAAAGAAAGAAUCAGUUAAGAAGAUGCGUGAGGAGAGUGGUGCACGUAUCAACAUCUCAGAAGGGAAUUGUCCUGAGCGAAUUAUCACUUUGGCUGGACCCGCUAAUGCCAUCUUCAAAGCCUUUGCUAUGAUCACUGACAAACUGGAAGAGGACAUCAGCAGCUCUAUGACCAAUAGCACAGCCUCCAGUAGACCCCUGGUCACUCUGAGGCUGGUGGUCCCUGCUAGUCAGUGUGGCUCUCUCAUUGGGAAAGGUGGCUGCAAGAUCAAGGAAAUACGAGAGAGUACAGGGGCUCAGGUCCGAGUGGCAGGAGAUACGCUCCCCAGUUCAGCUGAGCGGGCCAUCACUACCGCUGGCACCCCGCAGUCCAUCAUUGAGUGUGUCAAACAGAUCUGCGUGGUCAUGUUGGAGUCCCCCCCGAAGGGCGUGACCAUCCUGUACCGGCCCAAGCCAUCAAGUUCUCCAGUCAUCUUUGCAGGUGGUCAGGACAGGUACAGCACAGGCAGCGACAGUGUGAGCUUUCCCCACACCACCCCGUCCAUGUGCCUCAACCCUGACCUGGAGGGACCACCUCUAGAGUUGACCAAGCUGCACCAGUUGGCAAUGCAACAGUCUCAUUUUCCCAAGACGCAUGGCAGCACCGGAUUCAGUGGCAUUGAAUCCAGCUCUCCAGAGGUGAAAGGCUAUUGGGCAGGUUUGGAUGCAUCUGCUCAGACUACUUCUCAUGAAUUCACCAUUCCAAAUGAUUUGAUUGGCUGCAUAAUUGGCCGUCAAGGCGCCAAAAUCAAUGAGAUCUGUCAGAUGUCUGGGGCGCAGAUCAAAAUUGCAAACCCAGUGGAAGGAUCUACUGCUAGGCAGGUUACCAUCACUGGAUCUGCUGCCAGCACUAGCCUGGCUCGAUAUCUAAUCAAUGUCAGGCUUUCCUCGGAGACGGGUGGCCUGGGAGCAGCUAGAACAAUGCAGCUUCGUCCAUCACCCUUUCUGCUCUUCACCGUCACCCAUGAUCCAUCUGUGUAG
RNA transcript from Octodon degus (degu), 1182 nucleotides. It is a transcript of the gene named poly(rC)-binding protein 2 pseudogene, with no coding region annotated. Lineage: Eukaryota; Metazoa; Chordata; Mammalia; Rodentia; Octodontidae. The record is from RefSeq and is a predicted model, not a curated record. The transcript has a single exon.